AGCGAACGCUGGCGGCAGGCUUAACACAUGCAAGUCGAGCGGGCGUAGCAAUACGUCAGCGGCAGACGGGUGAGUAACGCGUGGGAACGUACCUUUUGGUUCGGAACAACACAGGGAAACUUGUGCUAAUACCGGAUAAGCCCUUACGGGGAAAGAUUUAUCGCCGAAAGAUCGGCCCGCGUCUGAUUAGCUAGUUGGUGAGGUAAUGGCUCACCAAGGCGACGAUCAGUAGCUGGUCGAGAGGAUGAUCAGCCACAUUGGGACUGAGACACGGGCCCAAACUCCUACGGGAGGGCAGCAGUGGGGAAUAUUGGACAAUGGGCGCAAGCCUGAUCCAGCCAUGCCGCGUGAGUGAUGAAGG
Molecule: ribosomal RNA, 361 nt
Filed under: uncultured bacterium
Lineage: Bacteria
Description: bacterial SSU rRNA
Rfam family: Bacterial small subunit ribosomal RNA
Source: RNAcentral